RNAcentral lists this ribosomal RNA (540 nucleotides) under Alpheus vladivostokiensis. RNAcentral's name for it is "partial large subunit ribosomal RNA". It matches the Rfam family "Bacterial large subunit ribosomal RNA", at positions 1830 to 2625 of the family's 2925-position model. The record is from RNAcentral. Lineage: Eukaryota; Metazoa; Arthropoda; Malacostraca; Decapoda; Alpheidae.
GUCCUCAUGUUAAGUGUUUGAGGUCUGGCCUGCCCACUGAAGGAGUUUUAAAUGGCCGCGGUAUAUUAACCGUGCGAAGGUAGCAUAGUCAAUAGUCUUUUAAUUGAAGGCUUGAAUGAAAGGUUGGACAUAAGGAAGGCUGUCUUUAUUGAUCUGAGUGAAUUUGACUUUUGUGUGAAAAGUCAUAAAUGAUUUAAGGGGACGAUAAGACCCUAUAAAACUUGAUAGUUAGUUUGGGCUUUACGAUUUUAGAGUUAAUGUAAGGUUAAGGUUAUAUACUAUUGUGCUGGGGCGGCAUGAAUAAAAUCUGUAACUGUUCUUAAAUAUAUAAUGGUUAUUUCUAGAGUUUGAGCCUGAAUUUUAGGUUAAAAGAUUAAGUUACUUUAGGGAUAACAGCGUUAUUUCUUUUGAGAGUUCAAAUCGACAAAGAUAUUUGCGACCUCGAUGUUGAAUUAAAGCUUUUUCCGGGAGUAGAAGUUCGGAAGGUAGGUCUGUUCGACCUUUAAAGCUUUACAUGAUUUGAGUUCAAACCGGUGUGAG